GUGGAUUAGAUACCCUGGUAGUCCACGCUGUAAACGAUGAAUACUAGGUGUAGGGGGUAUCGACCCCCCCUGUGCCGCAGCUAACGCAAUAAGUAUUCCACCUGGGGAGUACGGCCGCAAGGUUGAAACUCAAAGGAAUUGACGGGGGCCCGCACAAGCAGUGGAGUAUGUGGUUUAAUUCGACGCAACGCGAAGAACCUUACCAGGGCUUGACAUCCCCUGACGGCGCAAGAGAUUGCGCUUUCCCUUCGGGGACAGGGAGACAGGUGGUGCACGGUUGUCGACAGCU
Molecule: ribosomal RNA, 289 nt
Filed under: uncultured bacterium
Lineage: Bacteria
Description: partial 16S ribosomal RNA
Rfam family: Bacterial small subunit ribosomal RNA
Source: RNAcentral